Dipodomys ordii (Ord's kangaroo rat) is the source of this 345-nucleotide non-coding RNA. NCBI's taxonomy places the organism in Eukaryota, Metazoa, Chordata, Mammalia, Rodentia, Heteromyidae. The record is from Rfam.
UUUUGGGGCGGUGUUUACGGACUCUUCUUCUCUGCUUCCGCCCUGCACUUGGCCCCGGCUUUGAGCCUCUCCUGUUUUCCAGCCAGACCCGGAAAAACGAAAACAAGACUUGGGAAGCCCCCACCAGCCGGCGUCUGUGCCAGCUCACCUCUGGCUGUGGCUGGCUGCGGCUGCACAUCCCGGCCAAGGCCAGCUCCACAUCUUCCCUCCCCCUCCCACUUCACUGGAGCCGGGAGCACUUCGCCCAGAGGAAGGGCCUCAGACUGCCAAAGUCGACUGGGUCCCUCUACUCCAAAAAUGGUGAGGCAAGAUUUCAAUCUUGUUCACCGAGAAGCCACAAAGCAG